GGUAUGCUUAACACAUGCAAGUCGAACGAAAGUUUUUAACUUUAGUGGCGAACGGGUGCGUAAUACGUGAGAAUCUGCCCUUAGGAGGAGGAUAACUGCUGGAAACGGCUGCUAACACUCCAUAUGUCGAGAGAUGAAAAAUUUAUUGCCUAGGGAUGAGCUCGCGCCUGAUUAGCUAGUUGGUGAGGUAAUGGCUCACCAAGGCCACGAUCAGUAGCUGGUUUGAGAGAAUGAUCAGCCACACUGGGACUGAGACACGGCCCAGACUCCUCCGGGAGGCAGCAGUGAGGAAUUUUCCGCAAUGGGCGAAAGCCUGACGGAGCAAUACCGCGUGAGGGAUGAAGGAUUUUGGUCUGUAAACCUCUUUUCUCAAGAAAGAAGUUCUGACGGUACUUGAGGAAUAAGCAUCGGCUAACUCCGUGCCAGCAGCCGCGGUAAUACGGGGGAUGCAAGCGUUAUCCGGAAUCAUUGGGCGUAAAGCGCCUGUAGGUUGUUUAAUAAGUCUGUUGUUAAAGCCUAGGGCUUAACCCUAGAACAGCAAUGGAAACUACUAGACUAGAGUAUGGCAGGGGUAGAGGGAAUUUCUAGUGUAGCGGUGAAAUGCGUAGAUAUUAGAAAGAACACCGGUGGCGAAAGCGCUCUACUGGACCAUUACUGACACUCAGAGGCGAAAGCUAGGGUAGCAAAAGGGAUUAGAUACCCCUGUAGUCCUAGCCGUAAACGAUGGAUACUAGAUGUUGUGUUUUAUAGACAGUAUCGUAGCUAACGCGUUAAGUAUCCCGCCUGGGGAGUACGCUCGCAAGGGUGAAACUCAAAGGAAUUGACGGGGGCCCGCACAAGCGGUGGAGCAUGUGGUUUAAUUCGAUGCAACGCGAAGAACCUUACCAGGACUUGACAUACUACAGAUCUUUUUGAGAAAAAGGAGUGCCUUCGGGAAUGUAGAUACAGGUGGUGCAUGGCUGUCGUCAGCUCGUGUCGUGAGAUGUUGGGUUAAGUCCCGCAACGAGCGCAACCCUUAUUUUUAGUUANUAAUUCGUUAGGUUCUCUAGAAAGACUGCCGGUGACAAACCGGAGGAAGGUGAGGAUGACGUCAAGUCAGCAUGCCCCUUAUGUCCUGGGCUACACACGUGCUACAAUGGUUAAGACAAAGAGUCGCGAGCUCGCAAGAGUCAGCUAAUCUCAUAAACUUAGCCUAAGUUCAGAUUGUAGGCUGCAACUCGCCCACAUGAAGUUGGAAUCGCUAGUAAUCGCUGGUCAGCCAUACAGCGGUGAAUCCGUUCCCGGGCCUUGCACACACCGCCCGUC
Molecule: ribosomal RNA, 1305 nt
Filed under: uncultured marine eukaryote
Lineage: Eukaryota
Description: bacterial SSU rRNA
Rfam family: Bacterial small subunit ribosomal RNA
Source: RNAcentral